CGCGGCGUAGUGAAGUUGGUUAUCAUGCCUGCCUGUCACGCAGGAGAUCACGGGUUCAAGUCCCGUCGUCGUGACCA
Molecule: transfer RNA, 77 nt
Filed under: Methanobrevibacter sp.
Lineage: Archaea; Methanobacteriati; Methanobacteriota; Methanobacteria; Methanobacteriales; Methanobacteriaceae
Description: tRNA-Asp
Rfam family: tRNA
About the family: Transfer RNA (tRNA) molecules are approximately 80 nucleotides in length. Their secondary structure includes four short double-helical elements and three loops (D, anti-codon, and T loops).
Source: RNAcentral